AGGGCCGCAGUCGCUUCGCCUAGCCUGCGAGUCUCAGAGGAAAAAGGGGCUCCAGAAGUGCGUCCCCCGGGCCGCUCACCCGACCCUGCAAUUGUGGGGGGAAGAGAAUAGAGGAGUGAAGAAGGGUGCAUUUUCCAUCUCACCUCAGUCCUCGGCUAGGAAAACCACGUAGCCCUGACCAGUGGGCUCAAGGCCCUGCUGGAAACUGGUUCUGAGUGUAUAUGUCUCAGCUUGAGAUGAGAAAUUGAGAGCAAGUAACAAGCGUAUUUUUUCAACUUAUAGAUGGACGACGUCCUGGAUUUAAAAUAUUUACUAAAAGGAUGAGCGACUUGUGGAGUCUUGGUCCCUCGACCAGAAGUCCGGCCUGAGGCUCUGGGGUGGGAGCACUGACUCCAGGAUGCUGAACCACUAGAGAAUUCCUGGCCCCAGGGAAGAUUAAUCACUGAGAAGUCUCAUGGGGGCCUCUAUCUGAAUCCCAGUCCUGGCUCCACCCAACUGUCAGCAUGUCAGCAGCUCCCAGCGCUGGACACCUCACACCAAACAACAAAUAAGACAGGAACACAAACCAACCCAUCAGCACACACACUACCUAAAGUCAUACUAAGCUCAAAGACACGCCAAAACACACCACCUGACAUGGCCCUGCUCAUCAGAGGGAAGAGACUCAGCUCCAUGCACCAGAACACAGGCAACAGUCCCUCCCAUCAGGAAGCCUAUGCAAGGCACUGGACCAACCUCACCACUGGGGGCAGAGAAGAGAAGAGGAACUAUGAUGCUGCAGCCUGGGGAAAGGAAACCUCAAAUACGGUAAAUUAGACAAAAUGAGAAGACAGAGAAAUAUCUUACAGGCAAGGAGCAAGAUAAAAACCCACAAGACCAAAUAAAUGAAGAGGAAAUAGGCAAACUACCUGAAAAAGAAUUCUGAGUAAUGAAAGUAAAGAUGAUCAAAAUCUUGGAAAUAGAGAAAAUACAAGAAACGUUUAACAAGGACCUAGAAGAACUAAACAGCAAACAGACAGUAAUGAACAACACAAUAACUGAAAUUAAAAAUACUCUAGAAGGAAUCAAUAGCAGAAUAACUGAGGCAGAAGAAUGGAUAAGUGAGCUGGAAGAUACAAUGGUGGAAAUAACUGUCACAGAGCAGAAUAAAGAAAAAAGAAGGAAAAGAAUGGAGGACAGUCUGAGACUUCUGGGACAACAGUAAGCACACCAGCAUUCGAAUUACAGGCAUCCCAGAAGAAGAAGGAAAAAGAAAGGGUCUGAGAAAAUAUUUGAAGAGAUUAUAGUCGAAAACUUCCCCAACACAGAAAAGGAAAUAGUCAAUCAAGUCCAGGAAGUGCAGAGAGUCCCAUACAGGAAAAAUCCAAGGAGAAACAUGCGGAGACACAUAUUAAUCAAACUAACAAAAAUUUAACACAAAGAAAAAAUAUUAAAAGCAGCAAGGGAAAAGCAACAAAAAACAUACAAGGGAAUCCCCAUAAGGUUAACUGCUGAUCUUUCAGCAGAAACUCUACAGGCCAGAAGGCAGUGGCAAGAUAUAUUUAAAGUG
Long non-coding RNA from Physeter macrocephalus (sperm whale), 1549 nucleotides. RefSeq lists it as uncharacterized. The record is from RefSeq and is a predicted model, not a curated record. The transcript has 4 exons. NCBI's taxonomy places the organism in Eukaryota, Metazoa, Chordata, Mammalia, Artiodactyla, Physeteridae.